AAACUUUCAACAACGGAUCUCUUGGCUCUGGCAUCGAUGAAGAACCAGCGAAAUGCGAUACGUAAUGUGAAUUGCAGAAUUUAGUGAAUCAUCGAAUCUUUGAACGCACAUUGCGCCCCUUGGCAUUCCGAGGGGCAUGCCUGUUCGAGCGUC
RNAcentral lists this ribosomal RNA (153 nucleotides) under Golovinomyces cichoracearum. RNAcentral describes it as "5.8S ribosomal RNA". It matches the Rfam family "5.8S ribosomal RNA". From Rfam's summary of the family: 5.8S ribosomal RNA (5.8S rRNA) is a component of the large subunit of the eukaryotic ribosome. Lineage: Eukaryota; Fungi; Ascomycota; Leotiomycetes; Helotiales; Erysiphaceae. The record is from RNAcentral.